CGGUUGCGAGCACCUGGGCUAUGUUUAAAAACACCACAUUAAAAGUCAUCUCCCUCCCUGGAUCCCCCCGAAUUCCCAGUAAAGUCUCUCCAGCGUAAGUGGCUGUAAAAGACAGCGCUUAGCAAGUCGGGACUAAGUCGACAGUCGUGCUCCACACGAAGAAAAGAGCAUUUGUGAAGUACAAGGUUGUGCGCAGUGGUUUCCAGCUGUGGCAGAAGGAGCAGAAAAGAACGGCGAGGUUAUGUCUAUUUGCUAUGGCGGAGCCUGCGUCGGAGCCAGGGAGUGUUAAAACUCAGCUCGGAGCUCUGGGAUCCAAAAUGGGGAAAAAGCCUUUCUCUGAUCCAAACAACCCCAAAGCCUUUACCCCCAUCUCUGAGCCUCAGCCUAACCCUCAUCACCCCUGGCAGGAUCUGGCCCCAGCGGCUUCGUGUUCCCAGGAUUAUUAUUAUUUUUUUUUUAAUGGUAAAUCUCAACGCUAUUUCAAGUGAUGCUAUUUCACCAGCCACAAUGAGUGUGCACUUAUUUAAUAGCUAAAACAGACAGACAGUCAAAUUAACGCUGCCAUCCGGCUCAGCCCUUGUAAAUAAUUAGAACCAUUUUACUGCAAUAAUCAGAAUCAUUUUACUGCAGGGCUGAGAUUACUCUUCUGAAACUUCUGAACUUCUUUCACUUUGUUCUAUACAGUGAGCCUACCAAGAUGGUACUUUUAGGCAUGGAAUAAAAUGCUCUAAAAGCAAAUAUCUUUCAGGCGCUUGCCUGGGAGUCUUCAGGCUCCCUGUUACCUUACACGCCGAAGAAGGGGGAAAAAAGUGCCCGUCCUCCAGCUCUCUCACCCAUUCCCAGGGUGGCAUUUGCCAAGCUUAAAUCAACACUGUCUUGUCUCCAGCUCAAGCCAUAGCAGCUUUUGAGGGUGGUAUAUUAUCAUGACAAGCAGCGAAAUACAUAGAUUUUUAAAAAUUAAUACAACGACAUAUAUAAUACCCAGGAAUUCUUAGCUAAAUUUACAAAAUUAAUGACAAUUCUGCCCCCAGUACAUCACCGGUCACCUACUGCUCUUCCUCUUUUUUUUUUUUUUAAACUGUACAAUGACCUUCUGAUAAGGACAUGUCAGAAUGCGCCUGAGAAACGCUCAGGCUUUUGAAAAAUAAAUAGAUAGAAUACAAAAGCGGACACGACCACAGCUCUCCGCAAGGCAGAGGUGGCCGUGGCACGAUGUGUCCAUCAGCCCCGGCACGAGGUCACCUCCAGACCGGCUCAAAUCCAUCUGGCAUCAAGGGUCACCUCGGAAGGGGCUCAACACCAACCUCGUGUCCCGGGACGGUGGCCAGUCCCACGGCUCUCGGGCAGGUCACCCUAUAAACCCACGCACAAGCUCCGUUUCUGCAUCAGUAACGCUUCUGAGAUGGGAAAGAAAAACGUGUCGCUUAACACAGCAGCACCCAAAUUGGAGAGAUGUAGGAUGCCUGCCCUGGAGACCCCACCACAACCGAAAAAAAAAAAAAAAAAAUGGGAUGGAGAAAAAUUAACUGAAACGUUAACAUCUUGUGCUGCACGUGAAAAUGUUCAGCAGUGACCAAGGGGAUGGGUGACCCUUCCCAGCUCACAGCCCUUGUUUGUUAGGCAGGAAAAACCCAGAGAGCGCAAAGGCUGUUCGGCUGCAGGAAUUAGUUGGUGCUUGGUGGGAUGCAGCACAACUCUUAUUUUUAAUAAAAUGUCAUUGUUUAGGAGGGAGUGAUUUUUUUCAUAGGAGGGAGCGAUAAUCACUCUGCAUUAACCGCGCUGCACCACCCCCAGGACUGAAAGCCGCCGUCCCAAAACCACCGGAGCCAACCGUCCCGGAUAAAUUCAAAGGCGUGAUCGUACCGGGCAUUCACGGUUUGUGCCAUCGAGCAACGAUCGAUACCGUCUCGAUACCAAAAUUAAGAGAUCUGGUGUGGGAACGCCUUUGAUUUUAGUGAAUUUUUACUCUGACCCCAAAUCCUGCCGGUUCGCCCCCGUUUCGCACGGCAGCAAACAGGAGCGGGGGAAGCGUUUCUCGGGAUGGGGAGGCAGCGGCAGCUUCUCCUUGGGUUUCUCACCCACCGGGGGAGACGGAUUUGUGCCAGAGGACGGAGGCGCCGCGGGCCUGACGUGAGGUCAGAGGGGACGGGGUGACGUCACAGCCUCCCCGGUGAAGCCAGCGCCCGUCAAACACCCAUCGCUUGGCCGGGGGGGGUCAGCCCGCCUGUAGCGGGGAGGGGAGGCAGGCAGGCGUUAGGAAAGAGCAAACUUCAUCAGGCUCAAAGGGGGAGCUGGAGCAAAUACCCCCCGGCUCCCACAAAACAUCAGUAAAACGUAUCUUACUUCAGCGUGACAGUUCUAACCCGCAUCACUAUGGUAUUUGUCAGGUCAGAGG
Molecule: long non-coding RNA, 2395 nt
Organism: Athene cunicularia (burrowing owl)
Lineage: Eukaryota; Metazoa; Chordata; Aves; Strigiformes; Strigidae
Exons: 3
Source: RefSeq, a predicted model, not a curated record